GACGAACGCUGGCGGCGUGCUUAACACAUGCAAGUCGAACGGAAAGGCCCUGCUUUUGUGGGGUGCUCGAGUGGCGAACGGGUGAGUAACGCGUGAGUAACCUGCCCUUGACUUUGGGAUAACUUCAGGAAACUGGGGCUAAUACCGGAUAGGAGCUCCUGCUGCAUGGUGGGGGUUGGAAAGUUUCGGCGGUUGGGGAUGGACUCGCGGCUUAUCAGCUUGUUGGUGGGGUAGUGGCUUACCAAGGCUUUGACGGGUAGCCGGCCUGAGAGGGUGACCGGCCACAUUGGGACUGAGAUACGGCCCAGACUCCUACGGGAGGCAGCAGUGGGGAAUAUUGCACGAUGGGCGGAAGCCUGAUGCAGCAACGCCGCGUGCGGGAUGACGGCCUUCGGGUUGUAAACCGCUUUCGCCUGUGACGAAGCGUGAGUGACGGUAAUGGGUAAAGAAGCACCGGCUAACUACGUG
This 468-nucleotide ribosomal RNA is filed under the name uncultured bacterium. RNAcentral's name for it is "partial 16S ribosomal RNA". It matches the Rfam family "Bacterial small subunit ribosomal RNA", at positions 28 to 507 of the family's 1533-position model. The record is from RNAcentral.